Piliocolobus tephrosceles (Ugandan red Colobus) is the source of this 2573-nucleotide long non-coding RNA. RefSeq lists it as uncharacterized. Lineage: Eukaryota; Metazoa; Chordata; Mammalia; Primates; Cercopithecidae. The record is from RefSeq and is a predicted model, not a curated record. The transcript has 3 exons.
GGUUUCACCGUGUUAGCCAGGAUGGUCUCGAUCUCCUGACCUCGUGAUCCGCCCGUCUUGGCCUCCUAAAGUGCUGGGAUUACAGGCGUGAGCCACCGCGCCCGGCCCCCGAGUCUAAUUAUUAUAUUAGAAUGCUUUUUAAAUGAAUACGCUGUGAGUGGAAUAUUUCUUUUGGGGGCCGGGGAGAGUGCUGAGAGACGCAGCUGUGUCUCUGCUGUCUGCAGUCUUGGGCAGGCAGCACUGUGGUCCCCGAUACAGCGGGUUGAAUGCACUGCUUCACAUUGAUGCCACAUUUUCAAACCUAAACAUGAUUAACAUGUUUUAAGUAUUUAUCAAUUCACACUUUUGCAUAUUUAAAUGCUAUUUUUAAGAUAUUAAACACAUUCCUAGUUUUUUUCUUUUUAACCACUGGAGACUGCCAAUGUUAAGAUCUUGUGUUAUAUGAAAUUCUUCUAAAGCAAUUUCCUUUUACUUUUCGUGUUGCAUAUUUUCCAGUGGGGAUAAAUUGGAAGUUCUUAUUACUAGUAAUCCUGAAACUGAAAUUUGCUUUUCCUGCAUAGUCAUCUUUUGUUCAGUCCAUUUGAGUUUUGUUGCCAUCCAGUUUCAUAAUCAUGUUGUGUUUAUCUAAUAGACAAUGAGGUACUGCUUGAGUGAUACGAAAUUCUCUAGUAAAAAAUUCUCUGAAGAUGUGAGAAGUUCUGUGUAUUACUUGGCACCAGGAAUGUUACAAAGAUGCUGUUGCCAGCAUAUUGCUAAUGUAGCCUUUAGGCUUCAGGGACCCCUGUAGUAUGUUGAGUUUCGAGCAUUAAUAGCAGGCUAACAGAAUACAGUACCAAUAUGCCAAGUUAAAUAAUUGAGAAUACAUACAAUAAAUUAGUUUGCUGUAUAUAAUGACCUCAUUGCAUUGACAGUACAUCUCACAGUUGGGAUUAAUUCACCUAUAACCUCUGUGAACUGCGAGUGCUCGGCAGAAGCAGGCCCGUGUCUCGUUGAAUGUCUACAUUUAUGUUUGUAUUUAUUUUUUUGAGACAGAGUCUCAGUCUGUCACCCAGGCUACAGUGCAGUGGCAUGAUCACAGCUCACUUGCAGUCUUGAACUCCUUGCUCAAGUGAUCCUGCCACCUCAGCAUGCUGAGUAGCUAGGACUGCAGGUGCACAGCACCACGGCUGGCUAAAUGCAUGUCUGCAUUUAUGCAAGGUGUGUUGACAGGGUGGGGAGGGAGCUGGGACUGAGAUUUGCCUCUGUAAAAUGCACAAAAAGGGUUUACUAAGCAAAUUGAUAUUUGAAAUGAAAGAUGGAUUAAGUGAGAGACUUAGUUUAUUCAGGAAUAAGAGCAAAACCAACCACAUCAAAAAAUGUAUUUUACUGAGACAGCUUUUUGUGCAUACAACAGGGUGAUGUUUACAGAUUUCAAGAAAGGAGAAAAAGAAUACUUAUAUUGAGAUUACCUCCCUCCCAGUAGUGAAAAUAAUAAAUUAUCCUUUGAAAUAUAAUCGUAUGUUUAUUUGUCACAGAAUCUACACUUAUUUACAAGUGCUUUAUGCUCAGGAUGAAAUGGAGAUCCUGGCUCUCUUGUUUCAAUGAUCUUAGAAGAUAAUUCUAGGAAUUUUAAAGAUCUUAAUGGUAUGAGCAGAAAAGGUAUUUGAAGAAAAGAAGGAAAUUGUAUGUUUGACACAUUGGGCUUCUUUCUGUGUUGUUAGUGUUGGGUUUGGGUCAUUCAGGAUUUCUUAACUGAUUCAGACGUAAAUCAGGCUACUGUAGAAGAUAGUAGUUGGAAUGGAACGGACAGAAGAUGAUUUUUAGACAAUGAGGCAAAAAAAGUCAUCUUUCCUGCUUUUUCUGAAAUGAUAUGUUGAGAGGACAUUUUUGUGAGAUAUGCAUUUCUGAAUUAAAGGAUUCCUUCUGAAAAUACAACUUGUUAGGUAAUGUGAACAUAUUUUUUCUGUUGGCCAAAGUUCAUUUUUUGAAAUGGGGGCCUCAUUUAUUUUUGAUUUUCAGAAUUGAGUCUCUAUAAGGCCUAAAAUAAAAUAUAUUAAAUGUUAUCAAAGUUGUUUGCGCCUGUUUAAAUAUCUUUUUUGCAAGUCACUUAUAUUUCUUGGUACUGAAAGCUCACUACUCAAUUGUCCUUAUGAGCAUGAAGGUCACACAGUGCGUCGGAUCGUACUGGCCCAGAUGCCUGAGUGGCACAUGUGCACUGGGGAAGUGGGAGCCUCUUCACUGCCUGCCUUGGAAUUCAACACCUGAGCCAGAAUCUACAGAACCAGAGGAGGCGGAUGGGCCAGUGUCAGCAGAGGGAAUGCAGAACAAGAAGGCCCGCUAGCAGAAGAGGCUGCCCAAGGGCCCUGGGUGCAUCCAGGGCUGCUUCAGGACGGAGCUAGGCAAGUGGAGAGAAUGUAGAGACGGGGUUUCACCGUGUUGACCAGGCUGAUCUCGAACUCAUGGAAAGGAAGUUCUGGGCCCAGGGACUUGGUCUGUACCUUGUCACUGGGUGCUAUAAGCCCCUGUGGUACUCAUGUAGGUAUAAAAUCAGCGCCUGUUUAUUUCACUGGGAGUUUUUUUUUUUUUUUUUUUUG